UACGAAGGGGGCAAGCGUUGUUCGGAAUUACUGGGCGUAAAGGGCGCGUAGGCGGCCGAUCAAGUCAGGCGUGAAAUUCCCGGGCUCAACCUGGGGGCUGCGCUUGAUACUGAUUGGCUUGAAUGCGGGAGAGGAUAGUGGAAUUCCCAGUGUAGAGGUGAAAUUCGUAGAUAUCUGGAGGAACACCGGUGGCGAAGGCGGCGUUCUGGACUGCAACUGACACUGAGAAACGAAAGCCAGGGUAGCAAACGGG
RNAcentral lists this ribosomal RNA (253 nucleotides) under uncultured bacterium. RNAcentral describes it as "partial 16S ribosomal RNA". It matches the Rfam family "Bacterial small subunit ribosomal RNA", at positions 524 to 776 of the family's 1533-position model. The record is from RNAcentral.